This 253-nucleotide ribosomal RNA is filed under the name uncultured bacterium. RNAcentral's name for it is "partial 16S ribosomal RNA". It matches the Rfam family "Bacterial small subunit ribosomal RNA", at positions 524 to 776 of the family's 1533-position model. The record is from RNAcentral.
UACGGAGGGGACUAGCGUUGCUCGGAAUUACUGGGCGUAAAGCGCACGUAGGCGGCUUCUUAAGUCAGGGGUGAAAUCCUGGAGCUCAACUCCAGAACUGCCUUUGAUACUGAGGAGCUCGAGUCCGGGAGAGGUGAGUGGAACUCCGAGUGUAGAGGUGAAAUUCGUAGAUAUUCGGAAGAACACCAGUGGCGAAGGCGGCUCACUGGCCCGGUACUGACGCUGAGGUGCGAAAGCGUGGGGAGCAAACAGG